RNAcentral lists this long non-coding RNA (1143 nucleotides) under Brassica napus (rape). RNAcentral's name for it is "long non-coding RNA (BNAP_LNC018079)". The record is from RNAcentral. Lineage: Eukaryota; Viridiplantae; Streptophyta; Magnoliopsida; Brassicales; Brassicaceae.
UUAUCUCUUCAAUUUAUUUAUUUAUUUGAGAGCUGAUAUUCAAUUAAAAUAAAUAGGUGUAAAAUAUUACAUCCCCAAUGGGGCAGAUUCGAUUGAGACUUCAAAUAAAAAUCCUAGUAUUAUAAUAGUCCAGAGUUUUAUAUCAACGAAACCAGUUGCCCAUGUUAGUAGCCCAUUGGAUAUAAUCACGAAGAGGCCCAUCAAAACCCAAUCAAGUAGAGGAAAAGUCAAUUCUGGAAAAUACAUGCAGACUUUGGUUUUGUCGAAGAUUGACAAAGAUCCGAGAGAUGGAGUGCACGAAAGAAAUCAUCUGCUAAAUUGGCAAACCAGGAAGCAUCAGGAGGCAAAGUACCAAACUUGCAUCAACUAAGAGGAGAAUUAAGAUUUUUUUCCGAAGACCUGAGAUUUUAUUCCUGAUAGUAGAAUCAAUUAAUUGCAAGACAUGAGAGAAUUAAGAACAAAGUCUAGAUAUGGCAUUGCCAGCUAAGGAGGAGUAAACGUCUAUGAAAUGAAGAACCUCACCAAUUAAUGAGAGUGUUAAGAACAGAGUCCCAGUCUCUCCAGUUUUCUUAAAGUUAUCUAAUCUCUCUUUCUUCUCGGCUUUUGAGGGAGAAUAAAAAUGGCUUCAGGAUUCUCCGGCGACGGUGGUGGGAUGGAUUUUUACAGCGGUGCUGGUAGAUCUAUCCUUAGCAAUACCAGAACUGUCAUAAAAUCCGAUAACAAAAUCUUCAACCGAUGUAUAAGAACCAGAUUCUCGAAAUAUUCCUCGAUUAGAUCAGAGACUGGUUAUCUGGUGGGAAUAAAUCACUGGAAAACGGACUCUAACUAAUUAUCAAGCAAAUCUACUGCAACAUUUGUUUCAUAAUCAAACAGCUAUCAACACAGAAUAAUCUGUUGCCGACAAUCAAAAAAAUACUGUAGAAAUCUAUGGAAUGAUUUAGAAGGAAAAAUUGAUGAUCUUCACUGAAUUGAACUCACUUAUUUAUAGGUGUAAAUCCACAACAAUUUGAAAUAGGAGAUGUAUGGAAUGAGAGGUCUUGGAUGAGUGGGUCGGUGAUAUUAAUGAAAAUAUUAAUUGUAUUUAAUAAAUCUAACAUAGAACAGUAACGCCGCAGUUUUUUCUCAGUGGGAGGAAGAAGAAAC